RNAcentral lists this ribosomal RNA (301 nucleotides) under uncultured bacterium. RNAcentral's name for it is "partial 16S ribosomal RNA". It matches the Rfam family "Bacterial small subunit ribosomal RNA", at positions 509 to 807 of the family's 1533-position model. The record is from RNAcentral.
CAGCCGCCGCGGGAAAACGGAGGGGGCUAGCGUUGUUCGGAAUUACUGGGCGUAAAGCGCACGUAGGCGGCUUGGUAAGUUAGAGGUGAAAGCCCGGAGCUCAACUCCGGAAUUGCCUUUAAGACUGCCGAGCUAGCAGGUGAGAGAGGUAAGUGGAAUUCCGAGUGUAGAGGUGAAAUUCGUAGAUAUUCGGAAGAACACCAGUGGCGAAGGCGGCUUACUGGCUCAUACUGGACGCUGAGGUGCGAAAGCGUGGGGAGCAAACAGGAUUAGAUACCCCUGUAGUCCCUGUCUCUUAUAC